AAGAAAAAAGGAAUGAUUUCUUUUCUCUCAAAUGCCGAAUCGUAUUUGUAUUUGUGUUUGUUUCUGCCUCCUCCUUUUGUCUUCUCAUUCUCUUUGCUUAUUCUUCUUCUUUU
This 113-nucleotide non-coding RNA is filed under the name Pseudopedinella elastica. The record is from RNAcentral. Lineage: Eukaryota; Dictyochophyceae; Pedinellales.